This 496-nucleotide ribosomal RNA is filed under the name uncultured bacterium. Its description in RNAcentral is "partial 16S ribosomal RNA". It matches the Rfam family "Bacterial small subunit ribosomal RNA", at positions 28 to 506 of the family's 1533-position model. The record is from RNAcentral.
GAUGAACGCUGGCGGCGUGCCUAAUACAUGCAAGUCGAGCGAACGGACGAGAAGCUUGCUUCUCUGAUGUUAGCGGCGGACGGGUGAGUAACACGUGGAUAACCUACCUAUAAGACUGGGAUAACUUCGGGAAACCGGAGCUAAUACCGGAUAAUAUUUUGAACCGCAUGGUUCAAAAGUGAAAGACGGUCUUGCUGUCACUUAUAGAUGGAUCCGCGCUGCAUUAGCUAGUUGGUAAGGUAACGGCUUACCAAGGCAACGAUGCAUAGCCGACCUGAGAGGGUGAUCGGCCACACUGGAACUGAGACACGGUCCAGACUCCUACGGGAGGCAGCAGUAGGGAAUCUUCCGCAAUGGGCGAAAGCCUGACGGAGCAACGCCGCGUGAGUGAUGAAGGUCUUCGGAUCGUAAAACUCUGUUAUUAGGGAAGAACAUAUGUGUAAGUAACCGUGCACAUCUUGACGGUACCUAAUCAGAAAGCCACGGCUAACUACGU